Long non-coding RNA from Passer domesticus (house sparrow), 990 nucleotides. RefSeq lists it as uncharacterized. The record is from RefSeq and is a predicted model, not a curated record. The transcript has 2 exons. NCBI's taxonomy places the organism in Eukaryota, Metazoa, Chordata, Aves, Passeriformes, Passeridae.
GGACAACUGUGAGUUCAAAGGCCACAGCUCUGUCUAUUGGGUUGGGAUCAUGGAGCAUGUGUUUCCCUGGUGCCCAGGGUCAGUCAGUCCAUCCCAGGGUCUGUCAGCCCAUCCUAAGAGUUUGGAAACCCAAAAAUGGCACCACUGAGAACUACAGCCUUCAAAGGGCUUAAGUGAACCAGUAAAUCUGCUGCCCAGAGACAACUCAUCCUUGCCCUGUUUAUCACAGAUGAACACAUCCUGCAGCACAAGUAGGAAGAGGAAGACUGAAGUCAGUAAAUCACUUGGAAAAUCUCUGAGUGGGGUAUGUGGCACAGCUCCCUCUUUAGCAAAUGCCAACGGGUCUAACAUUCAUUUUGUCCAAUCCCCCAAUGUAUUAAUUGCUCUCUUAGUGAAGACACUGCUGGCAAUCCCAGUACAAAUGCAGAAGAGUGAAAAAGAAGUGCCUAAAUAAUCAGUUUGCACAGUGAAUUAUUUAGGAAAGGUGUGACCUCAUGAUUCUCAUUCUGGAUUACAGUUUCAGUGCUCCAACCCAGGUAAAUAGGAUACCUUGGUAAGGCUCUAUCUACAGAAGGACAAGAGGAUUUACUGGUGUGGGACAAGCAGUGGAACUCAUUUUUCUUCCAAGAUUUUCCUGAUAAACAUUCAGCCUUUCAUUAUAAAGCCUGAAUUUUCCUACAAAACUUUUUUCUAUACUUCUGGACUGAAAAAUCCAAAAAUUACUGGAUGAUCGGGUGCCUUAGAAUAUGGAUUGCUGUUAUAAAAGACUCAGGUAUAAGAGAGUGAAUGUGGAAAUUUUGACUCAUAUUACUAAAAAGAUACUAUGGGUAGUAUAGAACAUAAAGAGUUGGUUGAGAUAACCAAAUGUCACUGUACAGAGAAAAGUUUUUAAGAAACUUCCUGUAGUUACUAUAUGGCAUAAGGUGAUUGUGCAGCAAACAUUUAAAAAAAAUACUCCAGGCUAAUAAAAAUAAACAAAAAAUAAGAACA